CCAACAGCAGCAGCUUCAGGAGUAUUUGCAUGGCAUGAGGACACCUCCACUCUUUGCCCUCUAGUGUUAAACUCAGGCAUCUUUUCUGUAAUGUGAAAGGAAAGCGUGUUUUCAGCACAGGUGACAUUCUAAAAUUGGGUCUUCCCUGUGAAGAAGCUGAGGAGAUAAACAGCAAGAAUAAAUUCACAAAGCCUUGUAAGAGAAGAGCAGAGCGUUUUCAUAGACGGGAUGUGGAGGUCCUGGAAGCACAGCCCAGCAGAUGACUCACCUCUGGAUGGAAUCAACACACAAAGCAGAUAAAAAGCUGAACAUUAAAGACCACAUUGUUAAAGCAGAGAGCCAAAUUGUUCCUCCACCAUUCCCUAUCCCAGACUUCACAUCUAACAAGGUUAAUUUGUCCCUAUAA
This 406-nucleotide long non-coding RNA is filed under the name Homo sapiens (human). RNAcentral's name for it is "non-protein coding lnc-PPARGC1A-4:6". Lineage: Eukaryota; Metazoa; Chordata; Mammalia; Primates; Hominidae. The record is from RNAcentral.